UACGUAGGGUGCAAGCGUUAAUCGGAAUUACUGGGCGUAAAGCGUGCGCAGGCGGUUAUGUAAGACAGAUGUGAAAUCCCCGGGCUUAACCUGGGAACUGCAUUUGUGACUGCAUGGCUAGAGUGUGUCAGAGGGGGGUAGAAUUCCACGUGUAGCAGUGAAAUGCGUAGAUAUGUGGAGGAAUACCGAUGGCGAAGGCAGCCACCUGGGAUAACACUGACGCUCAUGCACGAAAGCGUGGGGAGCAAACAGG
Molecule: ribosomal RNA, 253 nt
Filed under: uncultured bacterium
Lineage: Bacteria
Description: partial 16S ribosomal RNA
Rfam family: Bacterial small subunit ribosomal RNA
Source: RNAcentral